GGCUGAAAUUCGCCUUCAUGAAGCCGGAAUUGCUAGUAAUGGCAGGUCAGCAUACUGCCGUGAAUACGUUCCCGGGCCUUGUACACACCGCCCGUCACACCAUGAGAGUUGGGGAUACCCGAAGCCUGUGAGCUAACUAUUUAUAGGAGCAGCAGUCGAAGGUAGAAUCAAUGAUUGGGGUGAAGUCGUAACAAGGUAUC
RNAcentral lists this ribosomal RNA (200 nucleotides) under uncultured bacterium. RNAcentral describes it as "partial 16S ribosomal RNA". It matches the Rfam family "Bacterial small subunit ribosomal RNA", at positions 1303 to 1500 of the family's 1533-position model. The record is from RNAcentral.